This is a long non-coding RNA of Selaginella moellendorffii, 266 nucleotides long. RefSeq lists it as uncharacterized. Lineage: Eukaryota; Viridiplantae; Streptophyta; Lycopodiopsida; Selaginellales; Selaginellaceae. The transcript has 3 exons. The record is from RefSeq and is a predicted model, not a curated record.
ACUCGCACCAUGGAGAGCCGAAGAAUCUCAUAGAUUUUCCUGCACGGCACUAAAGCGGGCUAGGAGACUAGCAAAGUGCCACACGCACGUCCCUCUCAGCGCUCUCAAUGGCUGGAAAAUGGCGGCUACGUUGCCAACCAACAAUGGCAAGGGACGCAUGCACACGUUCAAUCGGUUUUUCUUACUAUAAAAGCUUGGGAGCAAACAGUUUGCCGGUAUAAAUGUUGGAUGGGUGGAUGCAUGGAUGAAUUGAUUGAUUUGAGUUU